GUCUACAGCCAUACCACCCUGAACGCGCCCGAUCUCAUCUGAUCUCGGAAAAACAGCUGUCAAUUAGCAUAGAAAUCAGUAUUACAGUAUAUGCUCUAUUUACUGUACUUU
Molecule: ribosomal RNA, 111 nt
Filed under: Otolemur garnettii (small-eared galago)
Lineage: Eukaryota; Metazoa; Chordata; Mammalia; Primates; Galagidae
Source: RNAcentral